UCAUCUGCCACCGUAGCCGCAUCUGCUCGGCGCUGGCUCCUGUUCAUUUCAUGGCAUGCUAAGCAUUUCCUUGUCAAUUGGGAGAUGUCAGGAUGUGAAAACAACCAACAUUAAGUAGAUAUUUUGUGCCAGCACGAUAGCAAGUGUCUCCAAUAUGCUUUUGUCUUCUGUUCAAAGAUGCUAAACUGGCCUUCAUCAAACAGCCACUAGCUCAACUUGCUUCUGCUGUCUGUGAACACAGAGAACGAGGAUGGCUAAUGCAGCUGGGGCCCAACCAUGGAACAGCUGCACCGAGCAACUGAGACCCUUCCUUGGAAACCUCAGCACAGUUCACGAGCUGCAGAUGCAUUGCAGUGACUGAUUAAAAAAUACAAGAUGAAAUAUUGCAGCUAUCAAUAAUUCCUGCACAUGGCUGACUUCUAAUGAAAGAAUAAAGUUUCUGAGGGAGAGAGAAGAAAUGAAGAAAAGGGGUUUUUUAUCAAUUUCAGAGGAACACUUUGAUAUAAUCCUGAAAAUUUCUCUUGGUGAAAUAUUUUCUUUCAUUACCCUCCAUCAUACAGUGUUUGUUUAAUUUCCCCCUUUCAGCAGUGCUUUCAACAUCUUAGGAGUGGCCUGAAAGAGUUUUAAAACAUUUCUACCCAUUAAGGGCAACAGGCAAGAAGUUCUUCUUUUGUGAAUAGAUAUGCUAGUCCAAAUGUUUUGUCUGUAUCCAUGCUCGUCUCGGAACGGCUUUGUCUGUGAAGAGGAGGUUGUAAUAUGCAUCCGUGCAUAACCAUCUGCAUCUUCACAACACGUCAAUUGCUUGUAUAUUCACGGGUGGUGACUGACUGAUUCGUGCAUGUCCGUGCAAUUUGGCGCUUUCAGCCUCGUGCUGGCGGAUGUGAGUGUAUUUCACAGAGGCAGGUUGGGCAAUAAAUUUUGAAACUUUAUCCUCAUCUUUGGAUAGAGUAAUAAAAGUUUGUAGGCUUAAGAAAGCAAUAUUCCCUGGAACUGCAAUAUAUGGGAAUGAUGAAACUGAACUAAAAUGUACAGUAAUCUCUAAGGCCUACCCAAGCCAGAGAGGUGCAAAGUGAGAACCAUAAAGCAAAAUUUAACACCCGCCACACUAAACGUCAUUUUCAGCCUCUGACCAAUUUCACACAGAAUUGGGAAAUAUGACUAAUAUCAAGGCCUGAUUCCCUGGGGGGCUUAAGCAGGAGCAUGUCAGGAGGAAAAGUGAUGGCCCAUUGUUAGUUGAGCCAAUGAGAGGUUGGCACUGGCUUAGCACAGUGUUCCACAGUCUCCCCAACAGCACCCUGCUUUCCCCUUUCUUGAAUUCCAUCUGCUAUGCAAAACAAGAUUUGCAGCCAGCCUCAGGGAUUUGGGACCUCUUCAGGCAAGAGGUCUGGCCACAGCAGAGACCAAGGCCUUUCCUUUCUUUGGAGUUUAAUUUGGGACCUGGGAGGCAAUACUUUGUCCUAUACAGUUCAUGGUCAGGAAGGACAGGCCCUAAUGAAAGGCAAACAGAGGCCGACAGAGUAACCACACCUGCCUAACUAUCCAAAGAAACUGAAGAGUACAGACAUCUAACCUAAAGCACUCAUGCCCAUAGUUCUUCCAUAAGCUGGAAAUGCUAUUCCAUUUUCUUCUUUUUGGUCUCCAUUGGAUAAUUAUGUUGAAUGCUGGGGCACGGGUUUCUUUCUUUUCCUUUUGUCUUCUUCCUUUCUUUUCUUUUGCCCUCCCCCGCCCCCGACUUUUAAUUCUUGUUAUUUAACUACAGGACUCUCUCCAGCAAUCUGGCUCUGCAUCCAGCUUGACCACCUCGCUCUGUCUUGCACCACUGAUUAGACCCACCUUGGAUGACGGUAGAUACAGCCAUGCAGGACUAUCCACUUUGCUCAAUGUCCCUGGUUUAUUACAGGAUCAUUGUUGUGACAGAAACAUGUCAGUAAUGGCUGCUUUCCACUGAACAAUGACUCCUAGGCUGUGGCUAUGCAAGCAAAGCGAAGAGGAAAGACGAGCAAUUAUCCAGUGGAUGUGAUCCAUGCUGACAGCCAAUCUGGAUAAUUCAAAUAGAAACAACUUCCUUUGCCUCACUGGCAGGUUUGGGGCUUGAUUUAGUGAGAUCAUUGUUUAACUUUCUUUGCCUGUGGAAAUGCGGUACAUGUGUCUGCUGGUUAAGUGAGGGUUUGGGGGUUAUAACCACAGCAUCUGUUAAUUUGACAUUCAAGUUUCUCUGUGGGUUGGAAGCCCUUGUGUCUAAAAUUUAAAAGUAGCAAUACGUACCACACCCCCAGCUGUCUGGGAACUCAGACUGCAUAUGCUUCUUGGUUUUCUAAUCUGCCCAGAGAAAUAAAACCAUCAC
This is a non-coding RNA of Ictidomys tridecemlineatus (thirteen-lined ground squirrel), 2344 nucleotides long. Lineage: Eukaryota; Metazoa; Chordata; Mammalia; Rodentia; Sciuridae. The record is from RefSeq and is a predicted model, not a curated record.